UGGUCCUGGGCUCCAGAGGGGGAGGAGUUGGAGGAGUGUGAAUGAGAGAUUACAAACCGAGAUGACAUGGGGGAGACAGCAGAGGCAGAAGAGAGAGCCGAGAGCCGGCUUCAAGGGGCGGUGUCGUCUAGACAUGGGGGUAUUGCGUAGUGACCAAGGGUGUGCGUGGACUUUGUAGUCAAACUGUUUCUGGGCUUGCGCUGUGGACUCUGUCCCUCGCUAGCUCUGUGACAUUUGGGAAAGUUACUUAUUAAAUCCCACCCCUGUGGGGGCUACUGAGAUGAUGUGAAUAUACUUGGCCUAAAUCUUCCUGUCAGAGUCAAGUGGCUGCAGCUGUCUGGGUUAGGCCAUCACCCCCCAUUGGAAAUGACUUAAAGACCUACAGAUAUGCCUCAGAGACACUCAAGCAGGUCUCAGAAGUCAAGGCCACCGGCUGUGCUGCGGUCUCCGGAAAGAGGAACAGACUGAGGAGUUCACCCGUGGCGUGGAAUCAGAAGGAAACAGCAUCUACUCUGGGCUCCUAGCCUAUCAAGGCAUUCCCGCUCGCUGGGUGGGGUCUUGCCCCACCCCCUGGAUUGCAUGGUGAGCCAGGUCACACAGAGCUUUAGAUACCCCCUAGGUUUGGCUGAACAUGGCUGUUGAUAACCAGCUGAUCAAUAGACUGAGCCAGUGUGUCAGCUGCUUAGACCCCCUUGGUCUUUCUGUCUCCCUUCAUUCUCCAUACCCCCUUCCAUAUACUCAUCAAAUACUUAAGAACAAAUAGCUUCCUAUGGAUAAAAGGAAUACCUCAUGAACUAUGCUGGUGAAUAGGGGGGAAAAGCAAGCCAAACUCAGAGUCUUCUAUUGUACUCUUAUAACACAGUUCAAUUCUGUAAUCCUAAAUGUGUGGGGUGUUUCUCCCAACCUGCACACAAGCAGGAGUGCCUGCUGGACACCAAAUCCAUUCUUAUCUGCAAGGAGACAGCAUCAGACCCUACAGGCUGAGGGCUCAGCCCCAUAAGACUGUCCCCAACUUCAGGCCAGCGGCAAAGAAGGUAGCCGGCUACAAAUUGGGAUUUCUGAGGCUGAUUCCAGAGAUUUGUAACUGCCUAGGCGUCAUCUGGCACACUGCUGCCCCCCUGUGCAGAAGUCUGGGCUAGCAUCCUCGAGGAUGAGAGGCUGAAUGAGAGGAAGUGGCCAAGGGCCAUCUGGGUUAGCUCUGCUUAGAUGACCCCAGGGGAGGCGGCUGAUCUGCCUUGCAGAAUGCAGUUCAACUCACUGACCCGGUGCAUCAGGAGCCAGUGAAGUGGUUACGGCUGCAUGUCAUUAAAUUGGGGGUGGCUUCGGUUAACUGAGACCACAGGUGUGGGAGUUUCCAUGGCCAUUCAGUGUCAUUUUGUUUUAGGUAUACUCUAACAGGACCCGAGACCUUAGCACAAGUGACACCAUGUUGGAGGCACCAUUCUGAUCUUAGAACCCAGCAUGUAGGUCCCAAAAUGGGAACAAAGACCCGAUCCAUCAAAGACCUAGUCCAUAGUUCCGGGAUCUGGGAAAGUCCCUCGAGGUACGAACCUUGCUUUUUGGCUUCUGUAGUUCUAUUUCUCACUAACUGUUCUUGCUAACUGAAGUGUUAACCUGGAUGUAGUAUGUGUCCGUGCAGAAAAGGCAAAGCACGCUGGGCGGUGGUGGCGCACUUGGGAGGCAGAAGCAGGCGGAUCUCUGUGAGUUCGAGGCCAGGCCAGCCUGGUCUACAGAGAGAGAUCCAGGAAAGGCGCAAGGCUACACAGAGAAAACCUGUCUCGGAAAAAAACAAACAAACAAACAAACAAAACAAAAACAAACAAACAAAAAAAAGAAAAGGCAAAGCACAGUGGGGGUUGGGCCACAUGAUUUGGGCAGGUCCCCCAUGCAGUCACUGGCUGGCAAUGAGGACUUUGCAUUUUAAGAGAGUCUGUGCAUUUUCAGGGGUAAUCACCUUGCAUCGAUGACUCUCAUGAAUGACACAUAGCAAAUCUGGUCUGACAAGCUUGAUCUUUAGGAGCUGGGUCCAUGCCUUCCAUAUUUAAUUAUUGAUAUAAUUGUGUUGCCAAAAGGAAGAAUUCUUUAGGCCUGCUAUAGCAAACAGAGUUUAUUUGGACAAGGAAAACAAAACAAAACAAUUCCUAAAUGAAGCAGCUCCAAGAACAGAGAAGGUUCUGAGAAUGGCAACCAGCAUUUAAAUCUAAGGUGUUUGCAAAGCAAGGGAACUUACAUACACACACACACACACACAA
Molecule: long non-coding RNA, 2252 nt
Organism: Peromyscus maniculatus bairdii (prairie deer mouse)
Lineage: Eukaryota; Metazoa; Chordata; Mammalia; Rodentia; Cricetidae
Source: RefSeq, a predicted model, not a curated record